GAUGAACGCUGGCGGCGUGCUUAACACAUGCAAGUCGAACGGAAAGGCCCAAGCUUGCUUGGGUGCUCGAGUGGCGAACGGGUGAGUAACACGUGGGUGAUCUGCCCUGCACUUUGGGAUAAGCCUGGGAAACUGGGUCUAAUACCGGAUAGGACCAUCGUUUAGUGUCGGUGGUGGAAAGUUUUUCGGUGUGGGAUGAGCUCGCGGCCUAUCAGCUUGUUGGUGGGGUAAUGGCCUACCAAGGCGUCGACGGGUAGCCGGCCUGAGAGGGUGUACGGCCACAUUGGGACUGAGCUACGGCCCAGACUCCUACGGGAGGCAGCAGUGGGGAAUAUUGCACAAUGGGCGCAAGCCUGAUGCAGCGACGCCGCGUGGGGGAUGACGGCCUUCGGGUUGUAAACUCCUUUCGCCAAGGACGAAGCGUUUUGUGACGGUACUUGGAGAAGAAGCACCGGCUAACUACGUG
This 466-nucleotide ribosomal RNA is filed under the name uncultured bacterium. Its description in RNAcentral is "partial 16S ribosomal RNA". It matches the Rfam family "Bacterial small subunit ribosomal RNA", at positions 28 to 507 of the family's 1533-position model. The record is from RNAcentral.